GAAAUGCGAUAAGUAAUGUGAAUUGCAGAAUUCAGUGAAUCAUCGAAUCUUUGAACGCACAUUGCGCCCCUCGGCAUUCCGGGGGGCAUGCCUGUUCGAGCGUCAUUACAACCAUCAAGCACAGCUUGGCAAUGGACGACGUCUCCCCGCUCACGGGGAGGCGCGCCCCGAAACCGUCGGCAGAGUCACGCGGACCCGCCGGGCGUAGCAGAAAAGGAAGGCACACGCCGGCCCCUGACGUCCAAUGCGACCGCGCCUCGCGCCGUAAAAACAAUGGCCCGCAAGGGCCGUCUCCACAAGGUUGACCUCGGAUCAGGUAGGGAUACCCGCUGAACUUAA
Molecule: unclassified non-coding RNA, 339 nt
Filed under: uncultured Parmeliaceae
Lineage: Eukaryota; Fungi; Ascomycota; Lecanoromycetes; Lecanorales
Description: sequence contains ITS1
Rfam family: 5.8S ribosomal RNA (bases 1-105)
Source: RNAcentral